GCCGCACUAGCUCAUCCGGUAGAGCACCUGUUUCGUAAAUAGGGGGUAGGGGGUUCGAGUCCCUCGUGCGGCA
Molecule: transfer RNA, 73 nt
Filed under: Brevundimonas sp.
Lineage: Bacteria; Pseudomonadati; Pseudomonadota; Alphaproteobacteria; Caulobacterales; Caulobacteraceae
Also listed under: 2 other names
Description: tRNA-Thr
Rfam family: tRNA
About the family: Transfer RNA (tRNA) molecules are approximately 80 nucleotides in length.
Source: RNAcentral